This 1760-nucleotide ribosomal RNA is filed under the name Dixa sp. Dix1. RNAcentral's name for it is "bacterial LSU rRNA". It matches the Rfam family "Bacterial large subunit ribosomal RNA", at positions 1045 to 2817 of the family's 2925-position model. The record is from RNAcentral. Lineage: Eukaryota; Metazoa; Arthropoda; Insecta; Diptera; Dixidae.
UCCCCAAAUAUAUGUUAAGUUGAAAGAACGAGGUUUGUCUGCCCAGACAGCUAGGAUGUUGGCUUGGAAGCAGCCAUUCAUUUAAAGAGUGCGUAACAGCUCACUAGUCGAGCGGGCGAGCAUGGAUAAUACUCGGGCAUAAGCAUAUUACCGAAGCUAUGGAUUUAAUUUGAAAGACAAUUAAGUGGUAGGGGAGCAUUCUAAUGCGGCAGAAUGUGGAGCGUGAGCUCUGCUGGACAUAUUAGAAAAGAAAAUGUAGGCAUAAGUAACGAUAAGCAGGGUGAGAACCCCUGCCACCGUAAGACUAAGGUUUCCUGAGCUAUGCUAAUCAGCUUAGGGUUAGUCGGGUCCUAAGGCGAAUCCGAAGGGAGUAGUCGAUGGCCAAUGGGUUAAUAUUCCCAUACUAUUUAUAAUUGUGAUGCGGCGACGGAGUGAUGAAAGUACUGCGAACUGACGGAAUAGUUCGUUGAAGGCUGUAGCUAUAUCUUGAGCAGGUAAGUCCGUUUGAGAUGGCAAAGGCUGAUAGUACUCGGCGUCUUCGGACAAAGAGAUAAUGUACCUAAGGGCUUCCAAGAAAACCCGCUAAACUUCAGAUUAUAAAUACCCGUACCGUAAACCGACACAGGUAGUCGAGGAGAGUAUCCUAAGGUGCUCGAGAGAUUCAUGGCUAAGGAACUAGGCAAAAUCGACCUGUAACUUCGGGAAAAAGGUCACCAACGUAAGUUGGUCGCAGCGAAGAGGUCCGAACGACUGUUUAUCAAAAACACAGGGCUCUGCAAAAUCGAAAGAUGAAGUAUAGGGCCUGACACCUGCCCGGUGCUGGAAGGUUAAGAGGAGAUGUUAUCGCAAGAGACGCAUUGAAUUGAAGCCCCAGUAAACGGCGGCCGUAACGAUAACGGUCCUAAGGUAGCGAAAUUCCUUGUCGGGUAAGUUCCGACCUGCACGAAUGGUGUAACGAUUCGGACACUGUCUCAGCCAUGAGCUCGGUGAAAUUGUAGUAUCGGUGAAGAUGCCGAUUACCCGCAGUGGGACGAAAAGACCCUGUGCACCUUUACUAUAACUUAGUAUUGACUUUGGACACGUGAUGUGUAGGAUAGGUGGGAGACUGUGAUCCUGCGUCGCCAGGCGUAGGUUAGUCAUUGUUGAAAUACCACCCUUCAUUUGUCUAGAGCCUAACUCCACUAUUGUGGAGGACAUUUCUUGGUGGGUAGUUUGACUGGGGUGGUCGCCUCCAAAAGAGUAACGGAGGCUUCUCAAGGUUCCCUCAGUACGCUUGGUAACCGUGCGUAGAGUGCAAUGGCAUAAGGGAGCUUGACUGGGAGACAUACAAGUCGAUCAGGUACGAAAGUAGAGCAUAGUGAUCCGGUGGUUCCGCAUGGAAGGGCCAUCGCUCAAAGGAUAAAAGGUACGCCGGGGAUAACAGGCUGAUCUCCCCCAAGAGCUCAUAUCGACGGGGGGGUUUGGCACCUCGAUGUCGGCUCGUCACAUCCCGGGGCUGGAGAAGGUCCCAAGGGUUGGGCUGUUCGCCCAUUAAAGUGGCACGCGAGCUGGGUUCAGAACGUCGUGAGACAGUUCGGUCUCUAUCUACUGCGGGCGUUAGAAAUUUGCGUGGCUCUGACUCUAGUACGAGAGGACCGAGUUGGACAAACCUCUGGUCUAUCUGUUGUUCCGCCAGGAGCACUGCAGAGUAGCUAAGUUUGGAUGGGAUAAGUGCUGAAAGCAUAUAAGUACGAAACCCACCACAAGAUGAGAUUUCUUUU